Molecule: ribosomal RNA, 348 nt
Filed under: uncultured fungus
Lineage: Eukaryota; Fungi
Description: SSU rRNA
Rfam family: Eukaryotic small subunit ribosomal RNA
Source: RNAcentral
GUAGUCAUAUGCUUGUCUCAAAGAUUAAGCCAUGCAUGUCUAAGUAUAAGCAACUAUACGGUGAAACUGCGAAUGGCUCAUUAAAUCAGUUAUCGUUUAUUUGAUAGUACCUUACUACAUGGAUAACCGUGGUAAUUCUAGAGCUAAUACAUGCUAAAAACCUCGACUUCGGAAGGGGUGUAUUUAUUAGAUAAAAAACCAAUGCCCUUCGGGGCUCCUUGGUGAAUCAUAAUAACUUAACGAAUCGCAUGGCCUUGCGCCGGCGAUGGUUCAUUCAAAUUUCUGCCCUAUCAACUUUCGAUGGUAGGAUAGUGGCCUACCAUGGUAUCAACGGGUAACGGGGAAUGA